Molecule: ribosomal RNA, 113 nt
Filed under: Kamagatella elastica
Lineage: Bacteria; Bacillati; Bacillota; Tissierellia; Tissierellales; Kamagatellaceae
Source: RNAcentral
UGGUGACGAUAGCAAAGAGGACACACCCGUUCCCAUCUCGAACACGGAAGUUAAGCUCUUUAGCGCUGAAGAUACUUGGUGGGAGACUGCCUGGGAAAAUAGGACGUUGCCAG